Long non-coding RNA from Perca flavescens (yellow perch), 249 nucleotides. RefSeq lists it as uncharacterized. Lineage: Eukaryota; Metazoa; Chordata; Actinopteri; Perciformes; Percidae. The record is from RefSeq and is a predicted model, not a curated record. The transcript has 3 exons.
CUUGGCGUGUUAUUGGUCCAAAGCCACAUGGGUCGAAGGUCACUCUAGUGGAUCACACAUCCUUCCUUCCUGGUCGUCCACAACCUGUUUGCCAACCGUACCAGCCAGUUUACUUCCACCAUGAUGUAUUCUUCUGACGUCAAUGGAUGGCAGAGGAACUACAUGAAGAAAGUCCUGACUGUGGCACAAGGAGCAGUGGACAUGGUUGGAGACUGAAGCUGGUUAUAAAAUGCAAUAGCACUGGCGCUG